Molecule: RNase P RNA, 382 nt
Filed under: Pontibacillus yanchengensis Y32
Lineage: Bacteria; Bacillati; Bacillota; Bacilli; Caryophanales; Bacillaceae
Description: Bacterial RNase P class B
Rfam family: Bacterial RNase P class B
About the family: Ribonuclease P (RNase P) is a ubiquitous endoribonuclease, found in archaea, bacteria and eukarya as well as chloroplasts and mitochondria. Its best characterised activity is the generation of mature 5'-ends of tRNAs by cleaving the 5'-leader elements of precursor-tRNAs.
Source: Rfam by way of RNAcentral
AUACUUGGGUAAUCGCUGUAUGACUUGCUCAUGCAGAGGAAAGUCCAUGCUCACACAAGCUGAGAUGCUUGUAGUGUUCGUGCUUGACGAAACCAUAAGUCAAGGUAGUGUAACAGCUAACGGCAGAGAAAUGAUCUACGUCCAAACGGAUACGAUCAGAUUAUCUUGAAAGUGCCACAGUGACGGAGUUCCAUUGGAAACAAUGGAAGUGGAACGAGGUAAACCCCACGAGUGAGCAACCCAAAAUUAGGUAGGGGCACUUUUCUGAGGGAACGAAACCAACAGGAAAAGACAGGUUUUCACCUGUAGAUAGAUGAUUACCACCAGAGUACGAGGUUGACCGCCGUUUGCAGUACAAAGGUACAGAACAUGGCUUACAAAG